GGGAUCCAAUCUGGCCUACCUCAAUCGCGCUAGCAAUCCAAGCUCUCUCAUGGCCCAUCCCCAAGCUGAGCUGGUUGGCCCUAAAGCAAGGUUUGGCAUGGUGGUUCUGUCAGGCCUGGGCCUAAGCAGCAUUUCCACCCAUCGCAAGGUGGGCUCUGGCCUAGCGGUAAAUCAUCAGCCAUGGGGUAGCAGCCCAAGAU
This 200-nucleotide long non-coding RNA is filed under the name Elaeis guineensis (African oil palm). RNAcentral describes it as "long non-coding RNA (EGUI_LNC048225)". The record is from RNAcentral. Lineage: Eukaryota; Viridiplantae; Streptophyta; Magnoliopsida; Arecales; Arecaceae.